This 584-nucleotide ribosomal RNA is filed under the name uncultured bacterium. RNAcentral's name for it is "partial 16S ribosomal RNA". It matches the Rfam family "Bacterial small subunit ribosomal RNA", at positions 355 to 936 of the family's 1533-position model. The record is from RNAcentral.
UGGGGAAUUUUGGACAAUGGGGGAAACCCUGAUCCAGCCAUCCCGCGUGUGCGAUGAAGGCCUUCGGGUUGUAAAGCACUUUUGGCAGGAAAGAAACGUCGCGGGUUAAUACCCCGCGAAACUGACGGUACCUGCAGAAUAAGCACCGGCUAACUACGUGCCAGCAGCCGCGGUAAUACGUAGGGUGCAAGCGUUAAUCGGAAUUACUGGGCGUAAAGCGUGCGCAGGCGGUUCGGAAAGAAAGAUGUGAAAUCCCAGAGCUUAACUUUGGAACUGCAUUUUUAACUACCGGGCUAGAGUGUGUCAGAGGGAGGUGGAAUUCCGCGUGUAGCAGUGAAAUGCGUAGAUAUGCGGGGGAACACCGAUGGCGAAGGCAGCCUCCUGGGAUAACACUGACGCUCAUGCACGAAAGCGUGGGGAGCAAACAGGAUUAGAUACCCUGGUAGUCCACGCCCUAAACGAUGUCAACUAGCUGUUGGGGGCCUUCGGGCCUUGGUAGCGCAGCUAACGCGUGAAGUUGACCGCCUGGGGAGUACGGUCGCAAGAUUAAAACUUAAAUGAAUUGACGGGGUCAUAGCUGUUUU